This 376-nucleotide ribosomal RNA is filed under the name uncultured organism. RNAcentral describes it as "bacterial SSU rRNA". It matches the Rfam family "Bacterial small subunit ribosomal RNA", at positions 527 to 896 of the family's 1533-position model. The record is from RNAcentral.
CGGGGGAGCAAGCGUUGUUCGGAUUUACUGGGCGUAAAGGGCGCGUAGGCGGCCACCGCAAGUCGACUGUGAAAUCUCCGGGCUUAACUCGGAAAGGUCAGCCGAUACUGCGGGGCUAGAGUGCAGAAGGGGCAACUGGAAUUCUCGGUGUAGCGGUGAAAUGCGUAGAUAUCGAGAGGAACACCUGCGGCGAAGGCGGGUUUGCUGGGCUGACGCUGACGCUGAUGCGCGAAAGCUAGGGGAGCGAACGGGAUUAGAUACCCCGGUAGUCCUAGCCUUAAACGAUGAAUGCCUUGGUGUCUGGGGUUUUAUAGUCCCCGGGUGCCGUCGCUUAACGCUUUAAGCAUUCCGCCUGGGGAGUACGGUCGCAAGACUG